RNAcentral lists this ribosomal RNA (565 nucleotides) under uncultured bacterium. Its description in RNAcentral is "bacterial SSU rRNA". It matches the Rfam family "Bacterial small subunit ribosomal RNA", at positions 265 to 824 of the family's 1533-position model. The record is from RNAcentral.
CCACCAAGGCGACGAUCCGUAGCUGGUCUGAGAGGACGAUCAGCCACACUGGGACUGAGACACGGCCCAGACUCCUACGGGAGGCAGCAGUGGGGAAUCUUGCGCAAUGGGCGAAAGCCUGACGCAGCGACGCCGCGUGGGGAAGAAGGCUUUCGGGUUGUAAACCCCUUUCAGGAAGGACGAAGCCACUCGGGUGAAUAGCCCAGAGGGUGACGGUACUUCCAGAAGAAGCCCCGGCUAACUACGUGCCAGCAGCCGCGGUAAUACGUAGGGGGCAAGCGUUGUCCGGAUUUAUUGGGCGUAAAGAGCGUGUAGGCGGUUUGGUAGGUCCGCUGUGAAAACUCGAGGCUCAACCUCGAGACGCCGGUGGAAACCAUCAGGCUAGAGUCCGGAAGAGGAGAGUGGAAUUCCUGGUGUAGCGGUGAAAUGCGCAGAUAUCAGGAAGAACACCCGUGGCUAAGGCGGCUCUCUAGUACGGUACUGACGCUGAGACGCGAAAGCGUGGGGAGCGAACAGGAUUAGAUACCCUGGUAGUCCACGCCGUAAACGAUGGGUGCUAGGUGUA